Molecule: non-coding RNA, 71 nt
Organism: Phrynosoma platyrhinos (Desert horned lizard)
Lineage: Eukaryota; Metazoa; Chordata; Lepidosauria; Squamata; Phrynosomatidae
Source: the annotation of a GenBank genome assembly
GCCGCCGUGGCAUAGUGGUCCGAGCGUUGGACUAUGACUCUGGAGACCAGGGUUCGAAUCCUGCCUCAGCC